UUUUUACAAAUUCAAUUCACUUCCAUCUCUUGGAUUUCUUUCUAUUUGUCUAACAAAAAAUAUAUUAUUUUUUACAUAAGAACCACACAAAAAUGAUCAGAUUUAGGGACCAACCCCAAUUCAUCAAUGGUGACACUCUUAGAGACUAUGCGUACACACCUUCGACAAAGGGUGGGCGUGACAUCCUCGUCUUCGGUGACCCUAAAUUAAACAAACAAUGAACAAACAAUUGAUGAUCUGCAACCUCAAGAAUCCACUUUAGAUCUUUGUGUACUGCAAGGACACCUACCUCAUUAUGUUUAUGUGUGUUACUCCCACAACAAGUGAAUCUCCUCCGUUGAAAUCCCGCAUCUAGGGGACCCACAAUGACGACUACCCAUGGCAGCUUCUAGAUCUAAGAUUUGAUUUUUUUUUCUCUUUUUCUUUUUUGUGUUUCUGG
RNAcentral lists this long non-coding RNA (439 nucleotides) under Glycine max (soybean). Its description in RNAcentral is "long non-coding RNA (GMAX_LNC003434)". Lineage: Eukaryota; Viridiplantae; Streptophyta; Magnoliopsida; Fabales; Fabaceae. The record is from RNAcentral.